This is a small nucleolar RNA of Sorex fumeus (smoky shrew), 138 nucleotides long. RefSeq annotates it as U8 small nucleolar RNA. Lineage: Eukaryota; Metazoa; Chordata; Mammalia; Eulipotyphla; Soricidae. The record is from RefSeq and is a predicted model, not a curated record. The transcript has a single exon.
GUAGCAGGUAGGAUAAUUCCUACCUGCUCCUCUACUCAGAAAGUAAAUAGAACAUGAUGGUGGAGUUCACAUGAUUCAUAAUUAACAAUUCUGCAUGAUUAGGUAGGGCUUGCAACACCUUAAUAGCUCCUAUCUAGU